AUUUGUUGCCUUUAAUUCCAACAAGAGAGGAUAGUGUAACAAAAACACGAAAAUUUCAUCAUACACUUUGGCUUCUCCAAGGUCCUCGGCAGCGCUAAUAAAACUGUCCAGUGUGCGAGUUCUACGCAGUGCCAACUCGAAUCACACUCCGGUCAGCGGAUUUUUCGCCUCGUCCGCCGCAUCUCUCUGGACCGCAGACAUCGCGACACAUCAACCAAAGCUCUGAUGGCUGCAACUUGGCAAAGGACAGGAAUGGCUGCAAGGUAUUUGGGUACUGAAGAGCACCUGGCCGUUUCCUUGGACACCAAUUUGACCAGGUUGAUGGCAAAAUCAGCAGGCAGAGUUCCAUCUUGCUCGACCAGCACUCUUGAGCAAAACAGACGGUCAAGGAAGCGCAUAAGAGGCUCUGUGAUUCUGUUUUGACCCUGAUGCUCCUCAAAGAUGUUCAAAAUGCACUUUGAAAUGCGGGCCAACUCUUCACGUGACUGCUGGCCGAGAUAUUCAAACAAUGCGCUGCUUGAAUGCUUCACCUGCAAUUGCAAUGUACGUUUGAUUAAUUAUUUUUUUUUAAUUUUAAGAUAGUUCACUUUUAAUUUUGACAUAGCUAGAUUAUUAAUAUUAUUAAAGCUUAAUUGAUUAUUCAUUGAGCCUGAGUAUAAGACACAAAAAAUAACAUAAUUGACUUAAAGCAGGCAAAUAAUCUUUUCUGGGGAGAUGGCAUGUGCAAUUUGUUUGAAUUUAAUUUUACUGAAAUAAAAGAUGAUAUUUUAAAAAUCAUUAGAUACCAGAGUUAAAAUUGGCAUGUAGCAGAAAAUGAAGACAGAAUUGAAUAAUAUGAUACAAUUUUGUAAUUACCAGAGAUUCAGUAAGUCCACCGACGCUGGCAACAAGUCCCAUUAGAAUGUGGCUCGUGUAAGGUGGGAGGGCGAGCAUGCGGGUGAAGAGUGGAAAAGUCUGAACUUCAGCGCUCCAGUUGAUUUCGCGGCAGAUUUCAAGUGUGAAGAUUUGCAGGAGAGACUCAAGGCAGGGAAUUUUGUUGUUGGUUGGAUGGCUGUGAAUUUUAUUGAGGUGAAAUUAACUUUGAUGUAUAAAUGCUGAAAUCACCAACCUGUAUAAAAGAUUGCUAAAGACCUUGCCAGCAUGUUUCCUGGUCCUGUCAAUUCUCUCAACAGCGUUUCGGGAUACCAUGCCAACCACUGUAGUCAUCAGCUCUUCAGUCAGAACACAAGGUUUAGAGAUCAACGCCAGCUGCACUGUGCUCUGAGAAAAAUAGUUGAUGUUACAUUACUUGGGCAAUUUAACCAGUUGACUAUUUUAUAUAAGCUAUGUAUUUUUGAGUGAGCGGAAAGCUUGAUUUUUUAUCAAGAGUUGCACCUCAAAUUUAUAUCACUCUUGUGAAAAAAAGUAAAUUUCGCUAGUACUCUUUGCCCUUUCUUGCUGUGUAUGACCUGAUAAUUUAUUGUAUUUUAUUUUACAUGACUAGUGCAAGAAUAAACAAGAAUAUAAUCCUGAUUUAAAUAGUGGCUAAAGAUGACUGAAACCCGAAUUUUUAGACAAAAAAUAUAGAUCUUCAUUGCCAAAGUGUGGACAAUAAGCAAUAACUUACUUGAAAACAUUAAAAUUCCCUCUCAGCUAUCAAUAUUUUCGCAGUAGCUUACAAUUCAAGUAAUGAAACACAAUUUUUUCUGGGUCUUCUUGAUAUGUUUGUUCUAGGAAAAAAAUUGUAACCGAGAUUGUUGUAAGAAAUAAAAUUAUUUGGAAUCUCGAAUAAUUUUGAAUGAUGUCUUAUUAGGGUAUAUUCUAUUUCUUUGAACAAUCGUUAAAUUUGACUUAAUAUUUCUGAAAAUGACUCUAGUGCCACAAAAAAAUUGAGCCUAUUUCUUUGUCUAUUUGAUUGAUAAAUCCACAUAAAGUGGAUUCUUUUGAUAAGAAAACAUAACAAAUUUCCUUUACCUACGAGUUAUAGUACACAAAUAAUUUUCAAAUCCAACUAAACAAUGAGAAGUUCAAUGUACUUGUCCAUCUGCAAAAAAUGAGAGUAUUUUCACCUGAAGACCGGACAUGGAAGCUUCCCGGACCCAAGCUCCAACAUCACCGCGGCUGUCUCUGGUGUAGUCAUUAAGGCCAUCAAUGAAACGGUGAAAAACUAUGGCCGAUUGGUUAGGAUACCACCAACUUUCAUCCCCUACAAGAAAAUGAGAACAUUUUUUAACUGUAUUCAACAUUUCAAACAAAACGUGAAUUUGGAUUGCCGUUAAAUUUACCUUGGGCAGAUGGAGUUGUGCCUGUUGUGGCGCAAACGGCAGAAAGGGCCAGUAGAGCAUCCCUUCUGCUUUCAGUCCAUUUUGUCGUUUCAGCUGUGAUUUCGGAACAUUUCGCAAGUGUGUGAAUAACCGACGCGCUCACCCCUUCAAACAUAAAUCUUGGCAAAGCGCCUGCAAAAAAAUGGGUAAUUAUAACCCGACAACUAUCAGUGCUUGAUUGCAUUACCAACGGCUUUGCAGAAACCCAUGCGGGUAGUUUCAGCCUGUAUGUUUGACAGAGCCUCUAGCAAUAUGGUUAUCAGUGUUGACUGUCGAGGCAGGAUUUUGCCCUCGAGGUCUUUGCAGAAGUGCUCGCAGAAUGCUGGCAGAGCUUCAACAGACCUUGUUCUGGUCUGUGGAUCAACUUGCUUCAUCGAGUCUAUCAUGACCUUCUGCCAGUCCUCUGAAAGUUAGAAUUUUUAAGUGUUGUGGAGAGAGUUCAAAGUGAUAAUUGUACCUAAUGUUUGAGUGUGCUCGUGGAAAGGCAUUUUGGCGAUGGAGGCAUUCUUGAUGAAGCUCAGCACAGCCUGUCUCAUCAAAUCCCCUCCCAUGCCUUGGAAUUGGUGCCUUUUGCCAAUCUGAGUCACCAAGUCUCUUGUUUCAGUCAAAGUGGCAUCAUCUAAAGAGGAUUUUUUGCUUAUUUUAUCGGAAAGAAUAUAAAAGAUUUAGAAACUGCACCUAACAAUUUCAUCAUUUCCUUUUCUUGCGGGCAUUUUGAAAAACCAGCCAGAACUUCUCCUACAGCGGUUAUCGAUCCAUGGCGAGUGUGCAGAUCAAUAGAAGAGGUGAGGCGGAGCAGCUCAGGAAGCACUAUUUUCGCCAUGUACUCAGGGGCAAGAGGCGUCAGUUUGUGCAGAGCCUGGUUAGAAAAUAAAACUCUUUCACAAGCAAUUGAGAGCGCCAAAUAUUUACCUUAGCUGCCAACUCGCGGAUAGAAAUAUCCCAGUGAUCAACCUUUUUCUGCAGCAGGUGGUCAAUCAGAGGCAGGGUAUACUCCUCAAAUUGCGCGAUCUGAACCCUAGAUUUCAUAACAUGAGCACAAGAAAAGAAGUCAGCGGUGGUGAUGAUUUCGAGUCCAUGAGGAAAUGUACCUUGCCUUCCAACGUUCUCUUGGAAAGCGGCAGAUGCUGCUCUUCGACAGUUAAUCUUUAAGAACGUUAUUUAAUAAAUGAUGCACCAA
Cloeon dipterum is the source of this 3483-nucleotide long non-coding RNA. RefSeq lists it as uncharacterized. The record is from RefSeq and is a predicted model, not a curated record. NCBI's taxonomy places the organism in Eukaryota, Metazoa, Arthropoda, Insecta, Ephemeroptera, Baetidae. The transcript is spliced from 3 exons.